AGAUACUGUGGCCUGGCUUUGUUAGGGGAGAUCGUGAACAUGGAUGAGGACAUGGAGUAACUUUAGGAGGCUGGCUCUCCCCAGGAGCUCUCCCCCAAGGACAACAUCUCCCAGCCUUGCCUUUCCCUGCCAGCUGCUGAGAGUUACUCCUCAUCCCAGAGAUGAGCAAGGUCAUCAGCCCUGAAGGAGCAUCUCGUACUUGGGAACACAAAGAAAAGACCAGAUCCCUCCCCGCUCAGAUACCUCAUCAUUCAGCCAGGCAGUGACAGGACGAAAAGAAGGCGGGGUCAACUUGUGCCUUCAAGAGCACGUUCUAGAAAAAACUACAGGAUCUACACAUCAGCAAGGCUGCGGCACGAUCCCAACACCUCCCUGAUUUGUCCUUGGAAAUUGUCCGUCAGCACCUGUGUAUCAAAGCAGAAGCUGUAGCCCGUGUCGUUCUUGCCCUUGUUCCCACGUUGCUGCUGAUGCAAUGGGGCCUUGCUAAGUCCAACUGC
Long non-coding RNA from Budorcas taxicolor (takin), 497 nucleotides. RefSeq lists it as uncharacterized. Lineage: Eukaryota; Metazoa; Chordata; Mammalia; Artiodactyla; Bovidae. The transcript is spliced from 3 exons. The record is from RefSeq and is a predicted model, not a curated record.